This 79-nucleotide non-coding RNA is filed under the name unclassified sequences. Its description in RNAcentral is "skipping-rope RNA". It matches the Rfam family "skipping-rope RNA". Rfam says of the family: Firmicutes, Fusobacteria, AlphaProteobacteria, Spirochaetes. The record is from Rfam by way of RNAcentral.
UGGUUUAGAAGUAGAGAAUGUGCUGCUACACACCCUUUGGGUCAAAAGAAAUGUGGGGUUGGCACUCCCACCGUAACCA